RNAcentral lists this ribosomal RNA (253 nucleotides) under uncultured bacterium. RNAcentral describes it as "partial 16S ribosomal RNA". It matches the Rfam family "Bacterial small subunit ribosomal RNA", at positions 524 to 776 of the family's 1533-position model. The record is from RNAcentral.
UACGUAGGGUGCAAGCGUUGCCCGGAUUUAUUGGGCGUAAAGGGCGCGUAGGCGGUCUUGCAAGUCCCGUGUGAAAUCCCUCGGCUCAACUGAGGAAUUGCACGGGAAACUGCUUGGCUUGAGAUCGGGAGAGGGAAGCGGAAUUCCGGGUGUAGCGGUGAAAUGCGUAGAUAUCCGGAGGAACACCGGUGGCGAAGGCGGCUUCCUGGACCGACAUUGACGCUGAGGCGCGAAAGCUAGGGGAGCAAACGGG